RNAcentral lists this transfer RNA (73 nucleotides) under Sclerotinia borealis. RNAcentral's name for it is "tRNA-Arg". It matches the Rfam family "tRNA". From Rfam's summary of the family: Transfer RNA (tRNA) molecules are approximately 80 nucleotides in length. Their secondary structure includes four short double-helical elements and three loops (D, anti-codon, and T loops). Further hydrogen bonds mediate the characteristic L-shaped molecular structure. tRNAs have two regions of fundamental functional importance: the anti-codon, which is responsible for specific mRNA codon recognition, and the 3' end, to which the tRNAs corresponding amino acid is attached (by aminoacyl-tRNA synthetases). tRNAs cope with the degeneracy of the genetic code in two manners: having more than one tRNA (with a specific anti-codon) for a particular amino acid; and 'wobble' base-pairing, i.e. permitting non-standard base-pairing at the 3rd anti-codon position. The record is from RNAcentral. Lineage: Eukaryota; Fungi; Ascomycota; Leotiomycetes; Helotiales; Sclerotiniaceae.
UACGCGUUAGCCAAAUGGUAAGGCAUUGUGUUUCGGCCACAAAGAUUUACAGGUUCAAGUCUUGUACGCGUUC